This 253-nucleotide ribosomal RNA is filed under the name uncultured bacterium. RNAcentral describes it as "partial 16S ribosomal RNA". It matches the Rfam family "Bacterial small subunit ribosomal RNA", at positions 524 to 776 of the family's 1533-position model. The record is from RNAcentral.
UACGUAGGGGGCAAGCGUUGUCCGGAAUCAUUGGGCGUAAAGGGCGCGUAGGCGGCCUGAUAAGUAGGGGGUGAAAUCCUGUGGCUUAACUGCAGGGCUGCCUCCUAGACUGUUAGGCUCGAGCACGGUAGAGGCAGAUGGAAUUCCCGGUGUAGCGGUGGAAUGCGUAGAGAUCGGGAAGAACAUCGGUGGCGAAGGCGGUCUGCUGGGCCGUUGCUGACGCUGAGGCGCGACAGCGUGGGGAGCAAACAGG